CCUACGGGUGGCAGCAGUGAGGAAUAUUGGUCAAUGGACGAGAGUCUGAACCAGCCAAGUAGCGUGAAGGAUGACUGCCCUAUGGGUUGUAAACUUCUUUUAUAUGGGAAUAAAAUGUUCCACGUGUGGGAUUUUGUAUGUACCAUAUGAAUAAGGAUCGGCUAACUCCGUGCCAGCAGCCGCGGUAAUACGGAGGAUCCGAGCGUUAUCCGGAUUUAUUGGGUUUAAAGGGAGCGUAGGUGGAUUGUUAAGUCAGUUGUGAAAGUUUGCGGCUCAACCGUAAAAUUGCAGUUGAAACUGGCAGUCUUGAGUUCAGUAGAGGUGGGCGGAAUUCGUGGUGUAGCGGUGAAAUGCUUAGAUAUCACGAAGAACUCCGAUUGCGAAGGCAGUUCACUGGACUGCAACUGACACUGAGGCUCGAAAGUGUGGGUAUCAAACAGGAUUAGAUACCCGUGUAGUC
Molecule: ribosomal RNA, 460 nt
Filed under: uncultured bacterium
Lineage: Bacteria
Description: partial 16S ribosomal RNA
Rfam family: Bacterial small subunit ribosomal RNA
Source: RNAcentral